UACAGAGACUGCAAGCGUUAUUCGGAUUCACUGGGCGUAAAGGGUGCGCAGGCGGCCGAGUGUGUGAGGCGUGAAAGCCCGGGGCUUAACCCCGGAAUUGCACCUCAAACUACACGGCUAGAGCAUUGGAGAGGGUAGCAGAAUUCAUGGUGUAGCAGUGAAAUGCGCAGAUAUCAGGAGGAACACCGGUGGCGAAGGCGGCAUCCUGGACCGACAUUGACGCUGAGGCGCGAAAGCCAGGGGAGCAAACGGG
Molecule: ribosomal RNA, 253 nt
Filed under: uncultured bacterium
Lineage: Bacteria
Description: partial 16S ribosomal RNA
Rfam family: Bacterial small subunit ribosomal RNA
Source: RNAcentral